GCCUUGGUGGUGCAACGGUUAAGCACUUGGCUGCUAACCAAAAGGUUGGUGGUUCAAAUCCACCCGGUGACU
Molecule: transfer RNA, 72 nt
Filed under: Loxodonta africana (African savanna elephant)
Lineage: Eukaryota; Metazoa; Chordata; Mammalia; Proboscidea; Elephantidae
Rfam family: tRNA
About the family: Transfer RNA (tRNA) molecules are approximately 80 nucleotides in length.
Source: Rfam by way of RNAcentral